AACAAAGCAACACAAUUAUUCGGCGAGCGGAGAAAGUUGCGGGCGAGAAAACACAGAGAUCCAGAGUGAUGAUGAUGGAUGCGGGAAACAUUGGCAAGGUAAUAAAUUGUCCAAAGAGCAAAUGAGUGGUUUGUCAUGAACAGGCGGCUC
This is a non-coding RNA of Caenorhabditis elegans, 150 nucleotides long. The record is from Ensembl. NCBI's taxonomy places the organism in Eukaryota, Metazoa, Nematoda, Chromadorea, Rhabditida, Rhabditidae.